This 1366-nucleotide long non-coding RNA is filed under the name Nicotiana benthamiana. Its description in RNAcentral is "long non-coding RNA (NBEN_LNC013305)". The record is from RNAcentral. Lineage: Eukaryota; Viridiplantae; Streptophyta; Magnoliopsida; Solanales; Solanaceae.
UAGAUCUAGCGUAGCCCUCGGCUGAAAGGCGAUAAAAUCUUCUUCCCUUCCGAGGUGUAGGGCAUUGAAAACUAGAAACUGGCUAGUUCUACUCCCCAGGUAGCCUUAUUAUAACUGCACUUACCUGUGAUAAAUGGAAUCUGAAGAAAUAAAUGUGAUAUUCACAUAAUCUGAAAACAUAAAUUUGCCGAUUAGUUAUUCCUUUUAAGGAGUUUGACCUAUGGCGUAAAAACAAGAUGAGAAACUAAUCAAUCUAAAAAUUAUUUACAUUGUCUUCUUUUCAUUUAAAGAUAAUUGGAAGUUUGGAACUAGCCUACAUCGUUCACUCCACGUCAGGGACACAACACAAAAGCCUUCUUCUAGCUUUCAUGUCUCGCUCACAGCAUUAAAUUGGCAGGUCGGUAGAUUGCUCCCCAAGUCCUUGGAACUGGACCAGAUCAACGUCUGAAUACUCUAAAACACGCACUUAUACGAGGCAAAGAAGCAGGGAGAUCGGGCAUUGUUCGUCUUCCAAGUAACUUGAGGACAUAUAAGGGUCUCUAUGCCAAUGUGAUGACUCCAAUACACGGCUAUGUGGAGCCAGGUUAAAAGGUUACAUAGAAUGGAAAAAACCACCCUGUCGACUUGUGCCUCUCACCAGACAAAAACGAAGCUAAAAUGAAACCUCAGCACAGUCAAACAAGGAGAAUAACGAGAAACUAAAAGACAGGAGAUAUUCUUAAAGAAGCUAAAAACUUUGUGUUUCCAAAGAACAGUCAUACAAGAAGAAAGAAGACAAACUAAAAGCAGCAAAUAUUCUUGCAAUUAAAAACACUGCAUCACAUGUAGCGACAAUAGCAUUCAUAAUUUCCUGUAAUAGUAGAUUGCAUUUAUCCGCAUAAAUAGCAGCGGCAAAAAAAGCGGCUAUAUGCAAAGAUUUGCAUUAAAUGCAUAGAUUCGGUAUAUUGAAGAGAUCAGGAAAAUAUGAACCUGGUCAAGGUCAUUGCCUUCAACUCGCGCUUCAUCACCAUUGGCCACGUCAUCCUCUGUCUCUCCUCCGGGAACCAGCAGAGCUGUAUCAUCAUCCCAUUCCUCCUCAAUAAAUGGCGCAUAUCUGUCGCCAUUCGGAGGUCCUAAUCCGCUUUUUUGGAAGAUUCUACAAAGUACAAAAGCAUCCUUUUUCCUCGCAAACAAACAAAAACACAUUAAGAUUUAGCAUAUCUGUCUCCAUUCGGAGGUCCUAAUCCACUUUUUUGGAAGAUUCUACAAAGUACAAAAGCAUCCUUUUUCCUCGCAAACAAACAAAAACAUAUUAAGAUUCGAAACUUUAAUAGGAAGUAGCUAAGUCCACAACCUAUGCAUUUUCCAAAUGCAAAUUCGCACCUGC